CUUUGCCUACGGGACGCAGCAGUGGGGAAUAUUGCACAAUGGGGGAAACCCUGAUGCAGCGACGCCGCGUGAGCGAAGAAGUAUUUCGGUAUGUAAAGCUCUCUCAGCAGGGAAGAAAAAUGACGGUACCUGAGUAAGAAGCACCGGCUAAAUACGUGCCAGCAGCCGCGGUAAUACGUAUGGUGCAAGCGUUAUCCGGAUUUACUGGGUGUAAAGGGAGCGCAGGCGGUGCGGCAAGUCUGAUGUGAAAGCCCGGGGCUCAACCCCGGGACUGCAUUGGAAACCAACGAACUAGAGUGU
This 300-nucleotide ribosomal RNA is filed under the name uncultured bacterium. Its description in RNAcentral is "bacterial SSU rRNA". It matches the Rfam family "Bacterial small subunit ribosomal RNA", at positions 333 to 649 of the family's 1533-position model. The record is from RNAcentral.